AUGAACGUCCUCAAUGAAAAUUCGCAUCCCAUUUAGAGAAUUCGGGAAGGUUCCCUGCAAGCUUCUGUGGGACCACUAGCACCAGUGGGCACAUCGAGAGCAAACACAUCGGAGACAAAUUUUUCUUUCUUUGUGAACUCUGCCUUAACUCAAAGGUAAAGUAUCCAAUCACCUCCAGACCCCAUUGUAAUUUCUUUUGGAUUUUUUUUUUUUUUUUGGAGGGGGGGCAAUUAGUGAGUUAGAACUGGGUGGCGGGUGGGAAACAAGUGGGGGAGGGCAGAGACUUCCUGGGAGGUGUAAAACAGGAUUCAAAUGCGGUGUAAAGUGUCGCUUGGGCAGAGCGGGAAAACUCAGGGGCCUCUAGAUCGGCUUGUUUCCUUUGAUGAUUUCAAAAAGGUACAACUCUCAAUUUUUCUAAAAUGCACUGGCAAGCAAACAUUGUUCAGUUUCCCCACCUUGCUCUCGGACAACUUUGGGACUCUAGGAUUAUUUUCUAAUCGGCGUGUUUGCCAUGAAGGAAGCGAUUUAAGACUAAGCAGAGAGCAAGUUUUAAAGCCCGAGAAAGUGGAGUUUAAAUGUUCUCAAUAGACAUAUCCCGCUCCAACUCUGCCCGCCGCGGCUUGGAAAUUACAGCGAACAAAACCCCCAGCCCUGCGCGCUGAGCGCAGCUCUGCAAGCGCCGGCUGCACGCUUAAUUGGUUGCAUCCGCAGACAAAACCCUCCACUCCGCAGGGUCCCGGGCGCCCCUCGAUCGUCCCCUACUCAACCCCCGGCCACUGGCCUUGGAGAAGAGCAUUUAAUGGCUGCAGCUCUGAGGCGCGAGAUCCAGGGGCAAAAGGGGGACCGGGCCCCUGACAAGGAAGCGACCCUGGCUACCCUGCACUCUCUUGGACACUCCUUUCAACGCGCCCUUAGCUGGGCGAGUUAACCCCGUCCUGCGGGGAACCAGGCUCCCCGUAGCCCCUGCCCCGGGCUCCCUCCGGCGGCCGCCGCAUAUUUAAAGAGCCCAAAAAGGACCAGGCA
Long non-coding RNA from Homo sapiens (human), 1023 nucleotides. Ensembl annotates it as ribosomal protein SA pseudogene 52. Its record names the gene RPSAP52. NCBI's taxonomy places the organism in Eukaryota, Metazoa, Chordata, Mammalia, Primates, Hominidae. The record is from Ensembl.